Molecule: non-coding RNA, 26 nt
Filed under: Mus musculus (house mouse)
Lineage: Eukaryota; Metazoa; Chordata; Mammalia; Rodentia; Muridae
Also listed under: 1 other name
Source: RNAcentral
CACACUAUUUGCAGAUGACCAGUGUC